RNAcentral lists this ribosomal RNA (600 nucleotides) under Hanseniaspora uvarum. RNAcentral's name for it is "eukaryotic LSU rRNA". It matches the Rfam family "Eukaryotic large subunit ribosomal RNA", at positions 50 to 664 of the family's 3401-position model. Lineage: Eukaryota; Fungi; Ascomycota; Saccharomycetes; Saccharomycodales; Saccharomycodaceae. The record is from RNAcentral.
GCGGAGGAAAAGAAACCAACUGGGAUUACCUUAGUAACGGCGAGUGAAGCGGUAAAAGCUCAAAUUUGAAAUCUGGUACUUUCAGUGCCCGAGUUGUAAUUUGUAGAAUUUGUCUUUGAUUAGGUCCUUGUCUAUGUUCCUUGGAACAGGACGUCAUAGAGGGUGAGAAUCCCGUUUGGCGAGGAUACCUUUUCUCUGUAAGACUUUUUCGAAGAGUCGAGUUGUUUGGGAAUGCAGCUCAAAGUGGGUGGUAAAUUCCAUCUAAAGCUAAAUAUUGGCGAGAGACCGAUAGCGAACAAGUACAGUGAUGGAAAGAUGAAAAGAACUUUGAAAAGAGAGUGAAAAAGUACGUGAAAUUGUUGAAAGGGAAGGGCAUUUGAUCAGACAUGGUGUUUUUUGCAUGCACUCGCCUCUCGUGGGCUUGGGCCUCUCAAAAAUUUCACUGGGCCAACAUCAAUUCUGGCAGCAGGAUAAAUCAUUAAGAAUGUAGCUACUUCGGUAGUGUUAUAGCUUUUUGGAAUACUGUUAGCCGGGAUUGAGGACUGCGCUUCGGCAAGGAUGUUGGCAUAAUGGUUAAAUGCCGCCCGUCUUACACCACGG